This 677-nucleotide long non-coding RNA is filed under the name Cyanistes caeruleus (blue tit). Its description in RNAcentral is "lncRNA (ENSCCEG00000003499.1)". The record is from RNAcentral. Lineage: Eukaryota; Metazoa; Chordata; Aves; Passeriformes; Paridae.
CACCAAAGCAGUUUGGUGAAUCAUACCACAGCUGGUUUUUAUUAUGACAGGCUUUUUCCGUGGGAACAAAGAUAUGGAGUCACUUUUCAGAGUCUUAUAUAUGGACAGCUCUUUCUACAUAUCAUCACAUCAAUCUUGAGAAUUAAAUUAAAUCUGCUUUAGUAAUUCAUAUAGAAAUUACAUUUACCAACUUUUUUCUCUGUUCUUAGUUUAUCCCUUCAGGACCUAGUGCUUCCAAGCGGUAAAUCAGCAUGAGAUAAAUGCUGAGUUCCUACAAAGCAGUGUGACAAGCACAAUGUAAGCCCAUCUUAGGUGAAAUGCAAUGGUACCAUUCAGUGCAAACUCUCUGAUUCCCAGUCCCCACACUUUUCCUGUUAUUCUGAUGAAAAGCCUAAAUACAUCUCCUUUCAACAAUUGACUGUAAUCACAUUUUACCUGCCUUUUCUGAAGGGCAUUGAGCCAGGCUGUUAAAAGGCAAACAAAGAGAAACAAGCAUCUUGCAGAGCAUGCCUGGCUCUUGUCUUGGGUAUGGAACAGGCUCCAGGUCAGACACAGUGAGUCACAGACAAAGAUGUGCACCUAACAAAGGAGGCCCUGAAGCAAUGUGGUACUCCCACGGUGAAAGGAAAUUUUUUGUUGUCAUACAUUGCUUAUCAGAAGGUUUCCAUGGCUGCUGA